CCUACGGGUGGCAGCAGUGAGGAAUAUUGGUCAAUGGACGAGAGUCUGAACCAGCCAAGUAGCGUGAAGGAUGACUGCCCUAUGGGUUGUAAACUUCUUUUAUAAAGGAAUAAAACGAGGCACGUGUGCCUUUUUGCAUGUACUUUAUGAAUAAGGAUCGGCUAACUCCGUGCCAGCAGCCGCGGUAAUACGGCGGAUCCGAGCGUUAUCCGGAUUUAUUGGGUUUAAAGGGAGCGUAGAUGGGUUGUUAAGUCAGUUGUGAAAGUUUGCGGCUCAACCGUAAAAUUGCAAUUGAUACUGGCAGUCGUGAGUACAGUUGAGGUAGGCGGAAUUCGUGGUGUAGCGGUGAAAUGCUUAGAUAUCACGAAGAACCCCGAUUGCGAAGGCAGCUUACUAAACUGUGACUGACAUUGAUGCUCGAAAGUGUGGGUAUCAAACAGGAUUAGAUACCCUUGUAGUC
Molecule: ribosomal RNA, 460 nt
Filed under: uncultured bacterium
Lineage: Bacteria
Description: partial 16S ribosomal RNA
Rfam family: Bacterial small subunit ribosomal RNA
Source: RNAcentral